Molecule: non-coding RNA, 2815 nt
Organism: Taeniopygia guttata (zebra finch)
Lineage: Eukaryota; Metazoa; Chordata; Aves; Passeriformes; Estrildidae
Source: RefSeq, a predicted model, not a curated record
GCUUGUUCCCUGCUGCUGGCUCUGCCCGGCAGCUGUUUGCUGCCGCCGCGAAUGUGAAGGUUAUUGUGAGAAACUACAGACUAGGGUAUUGUUUAUUAAGAUAAGGUUAGGGAACGGAGGAUAUGCAAACAGCCAACGGACACAGCUUAUGCAAGGAUUGAGAAGGACUUUUAAGGAUGUCAACACCAACAUCUCCAGUCAAUGGGCACCUUCUCCUGAGACUCAACUGUCUGGACUUUGAAACUUGAGCAUUCUUUUAAUUGUUGUUUGGGUUUUUGUAUUGUAAGCUUUGUUUUAGAGAUUUAAUAGAGGUAGAUGUUUUGCAGGUAAAGGAUCUCCUUGAUCAUUCCACAUCAGCAUCUGAUUGAUAACUGGCAAAUUGAUAAGGGAACCUCUUGAGAUGUGUUUGCUCUCUCUUUUGCAAGGGCCCUGCAGAAGAAUUGCAAAUGCAGGGUUUUUAAAAUGUAUUUAUACUAAAAGGGUGAUAUGUGGCAGGCACAUUUUACUCUCUCAGGACUUUUCAUAGCAGUUCACAGAGAGAAGAAAGAGAAAACAAUUUCUAUUUCUGCUCCUCGUUUUUCCCGUGUGGAAUGUGUUUGGAGAAUUGUUUACCUGGGGUGAUUGCUUGAUUGGAUUCUGGUGAGGACUGUUUCAGCCUGAUGGCCAAUCCAAUCCACUGGUGUCUGGACUCACAAGAAGAGGGUCAUGAGUUGUGAGUUAGAUUUGGUAGUUAGAAAAAGCAGGUAUGUAGUUUUAGUAUCUCCUUUAAAUAGUAUAUUAAUGUAUUAUAGUACAGUUAUAAUAAAGAAAUCAUUCAGCCUUCUGAACUGAAGUCAGACAUCAUCAUUGCUUCCCACUGGCUUCACCUGCAUUUACAAUAAGUGGUGAAUGAAUCUGAGAUGCUGUCCCUUGAGCCAAAGAGUCCAAAGUCAUAGAAUCAUAGAAUAUCCUGAACCGGAUGCCACCCAUAAGGAUCAUCAAAUUCCAAGUCCUGGCCCAGCUUUCACAGCUGCAAGAGAGUCAUGCAGGACCUAACCUGGAGACUAGCCACAUGACCAGUCCCUGCCCAUUUAAGUGGUACUUAGCAGAGCAAGGUACCAGUAGUAGACCCUGCUUACAACAGGCCAGACAGCAAAACUGAUUCACAUUUUGACACUAAAAUGCAGCUUAUCUAUUCUGUGACUGCAGUGGAUAACCCAGGCAUUUCACUUCCACUGCUGUAACUGUACUGCUGUACUACUGUAACAGUAACAAAAUAGCAAUUCAUUCUGAACACAGUCCUUUCCACAGGAAUACAAAGAUGCCUUGAUUACACAGUGGUACAGCAUUUGGAUUCUAGUCUAAUUCAUGUCCUGUUCAUGUAAAAUGAGAAUACAGUCUUUUGAAGGCGCUGUAAUUAUGUCUGGUCAAACUGCUAGAACAAGAAAAUCAAGUCAUUAUGAGUACAGGCUGGACUCUGGCUAAACACUCAGCAAGCACUGACCAGAGCAGAUUCACUGCCCUGCUGUAUUUACAAAACAGCAGAGAAGAUAUCGUUAAAUUCAAGUGAAGCUAAUUCAGAAUAGUUAGGAGGUCAUAUGCUAUGCUGGUGCCAUUGUCUAGGGGAUAAACUGUAAUUGUAAAAUUUAUUUUUCUAAUUUCAAAUAGUUAGGGUAAGAUUGGAAGGAUAGAAUAAACAUCCAUGUAGCAUCAUGCAUACCAUGUAUGACAUUCCAUAACUACUGUUAUGCUAACAAACUUAUGGUAUAUAUAUUCCAGGAAAAAAACAUUACAUGAAUUGUACUAUGGCAUAAUGCAAAAUAAAGAGGGUCAGGGAUGUUACUGAAAACUAUUAAAGCUUCCUUCCAAGUAGAAAUCUAUGGACCUACAGAUCUUUCACGUUUAGAAUAGAGCCUAGAUGUGAUUCUUUUCUUCCUGAAAACCACUUUACAUGAUAGGAAUUAGCUAACAGUUACUCCUGAGUAAGAGAAGAGAAAGAGAAAGAAAAGUCAGAGUUUGGACACUUGAGUGAAUGCUAUGAGAUCCUCUGAUCCUCUCAAAGAGCUCACCUGAAGCAUUCAGAGAACAAACCACACCCAUUUCAUGAUAUGUGUGGGUGCAAAUGUUCAUUCUUACUGCAUGAGUCCCUGUGUGCCCAAAAAAGGACACUUCAGAGGCUUCCAUCUUAGUGAACUGAUUUUAAAGCACUCCCAUAACAAAACCUUUACUGAUUUUAGUGGUGUCCUGGCUUGUAAGAUAAGCAUGUAUUCUAUUUGCCAUCUGUUGGAGGUGGAGCUGGUAUCUUCUUCUGUUAAGUUGGGCAGUGUUCUCAUCUCUUCCAAGAACAAUGUCUCCCUCUGGGGAGAUCUCUUCUGUUAAUGGGCCAUUGAAUGACUCACUGCAUGACUGGUAAAGUUACAUCAUCCCAUUGUGAGAUGCUCCACCCAGAGGGAGGAGCCAAGCAUCCCUACCUGCAUAAAAUUAGCAUUUUUGGCACAUCAGAACAGCCUCUUCACUGGAUUCCCAGAGGAGCAGCAUCUUCUCUGCUGGAUUCCCAGAGGGGCAGCUUCUUCCCCGCUGAAUCCCCAGACGAAAACCAGGCCCAUCUACUCUAUCACCAGACCUUCAGAGAAAACUCCACCCUUCUACAGAUCACCCCUUCAGCAGCAUUCCAUCUGCCACUCCAGGAGGAGCAGCCACCAUUUAACUGGACUAUUACCAACACCCUGACUACUCAGGGCGUCAGGUUUCUGACUCCAUCACUAGUUUUGUUUGUACUAAUUACUUUUUUUAAUUUUGUUUUUUUCCUAGUAAAGAACUGUUAUUCCCAUUCCCA